GUGGCUUCAUAAAAAUUGAAUGAGGAUUUGCUGAAACUGAUUAGUAUCGGCAAGUUUUGAUGGAAUGAAGCCUACAAAAAUUGUUUCCCUCGCUAUCCGGUGUUAUUCUCAAUGUUGCAUUUGGACGUUGGGAAACUACAUCA
This is a small nucleolar RNA of Cynara cardunculus var. scolymus (artichoke), 143 nucleotides long. RefSeq annotates it as small nucleolar RNA snoR136. The record is from RefSeq and is a predicted model, not a curated record. The transcript has a single exon. NCBI's taxonomy places the organism in Eukaryota, Viridiplantae, Streptophyta, Magnoliopsida, Asterales, Asteraceae.